RNAcentral lists this ribosomal RNA (110 nucleotides) under uncultured bacterium. RNAcentral's name for it is "partial 16S ribosomal RNA". It matches the Rfam family "Bacterial small subunit ribosomal RNA", at positions 1373 to 1482 of the family's 1533-position model. The record is from RNAcentral.
CCCGGGCCUUGUACACACCGCCCGUCACACCAUGGGAGUUGGUUCUACCCUAAGCCGGUACGCUAACCGCAAGGAGGCAGCCGUCCACGGUAGGGUCAAUGACUGGGGUG